RNAcentral lists this transfer RNA (86 nucleotides) under Dethiobacter sp. Its description in RNAcentral is "tRNA-Tyr". It matches the Rfam family "tRNA". Rfam says of the family: Transfer RNA (tRNA) molecules are approximately 80 nucleotides in length. Lineage: Bacteria; Bacillati; Bacillota; Dethiobacteria; Dethiobacterales; Dethiobacteraceae. The record is from RNAcentral.
GGAGAGGUACCCAAGUUGGCUAAAGGGGGCAGACUGUAAAUCUGUUGUCUCAGACUUCACUGGUUCGAAUCCAGUCCUCUCCACCA